This 253-nucleotide ribosomal RNA is filed under the name uncultured bacterium. RNAcentral describes it as "partial 16S ribosomal RNA". It matches the Rfam family "Bacterial small subunit ribosomal RNA", at positions 524 to 776 of the family's 1533-position model. The record is from RNAcentral.
UACGGAGGGUGCAAGCGUUGUUCGGAUUUAUUGGGCGUAAAGCGCGUGUAGGCGGUUUCUUAAGUCUGAUGUGAAAGCCCUGGGCUCAACCUGGGAAUGGCGGUGGAUACUGAGGAGCUAGAGUGCGGUAGAGGAGGGUGGAAUUCCCGGUGUAGCGGUGAAAUGCGUAGAGAUCGGGAGGAACAUCAGUGGCGAAGGCGGCCCUCUGGACCAGCACUGACGCUGAGGCACGAAAGCGUGGGGAGCAAACAGG